RNAcentral lists this small RNA (625 nucleotides) under Thalassobacillus cyri. Lineage: Bacteria; Bacillati; Bacillota; Bacilli; Caryophanales; Bacillaceae. The record is from RNAcentral.
UAUAAGUACAUAAGGGAUGGUGCAGUAUUCUAGUCAGCCCUCCGUUCCUGAAGGCGGGCCUAAAAAUCCGCCAAAGGGCAUAUCGAUGAAGUUCCUUGUGUUGGCUUGAGGCGCCCAGCCUUGGGUCGAUGCUGGGAGUUAAGGUAGUGGGGCGAUCCGCAAAGGCAUGUGGGCGUUGACCCUGCUUCCGCGGAGGCCCAUAUCUGUGAUGGUUUCUUAGCCGGAAAUCAUGAUGGAAUGGGGUAUGAACCUGCUUUAUAUGGAGGAAUUCUGUAUGAGCAGCGUAGCCUGCCUUGAGUGGGCUUGAGGGGAUUAUGGAAUUAAAGAUGCGUGGAAGGAUGGCCACCUUUUCACGGGUUUUUUCGCCAUAUGAAAUCAAGCCUGCAAAAGAGGCUAAGGAACGGUUAAAGGCUGUUGAGGAAAUCUCCUAGACUGUUUGCCAAGACACGCAAUAGGAAUUAUAGUGCGGACUGAGUGGUAAUCCAGUCCGGCUUUCGGAAACGGAGUCGAUCCGGGUUUAAAGGGGAACCGCCAGAAUGGUGACAUUCGGUAUCUGGAUGGGAAAACCUACUGGACCUAAGCCGCAAUUUUUACCUAUUGGGUGACCAUUCCUUCUCUUACAUAA